UGGUGGGUGAUGGUGCCAUCACCAGGACUGGAACAGAAAGGUAAACCAGCCUGGGAGCUUGAGCAUUUGGAAUGGGUAGAACGAGGAGCCAUCGGAUAGGUCAGUGAUGGCAAACCUAUGACACGCGUGUCAGAGGUGACACGCGAACUCAUUUUUUUGGUUGAUUUUUCUUUGUUAAAAGGCGUUUAAAUAUAUAAAUAAAUAUCAAAAAUAUAAGUCUUUGUUUUACUAUGGUUGCAAAUAUCAAAAAAUUUCUAUAUGUGACACAGCACCAGAGUUAAGUUAGGGUUUUUCAAAAUGCUGACACGCCGAGCUCAAAAGGUUCGCCAUCACUGGGAUAGGUAUGUAAGAAAAGGUUUCUUCUCGCCAGUUUGACAGCUCUGGGCCCGUGAGAGAGACCUGGGCGAGUCAGCAGAGAGUUGGUGCUAAAUAAUUCAGUGUUCUUCUCCUGGGCACAUCCAGGCUACCUUUCUCAUCCAUGCUGGCCAUAACAUACAGCCACGGAAGGACUGUCCGUGGGACCUGCAGGCGGGGCCCUAAGGAACUUGACACAGUCUGGGCAUCCCACGCUAAGUGGGAGGACUGAGGGUGUGGGAGCACAGAGCUAGGCUGCAGGAGCCAGGCCCUCUGAGUGGCUGUGUGAAUCAGGCUCCUGCUCCCCAGACUGCCUCCCAACUCAGAAUGAGCUAUGAAAAGAAUAAAAAGUUAACUUGACCUUCAAGGCCCCAGACAUUUUGGGGAGGACGGAUGUUAGCCUGCCCUGAUUAACGCAGCUGGAGUGAGUGAGCUGAGAGUCAUUUCUGUGGGUGGAGGUGAGCCGGGGGGCGAUGUGCUGCUCAGGAAAAGUCUAGUCCAGGAAGAAAGGUGGAGGAUGGAGCCUGAGAAAACCUGGCUGAAGGAGGAGCUGAAGAAGAACCACCUGCAGAGGAGGUGAGGGAGGCAAGUGAGCCCCGGGAGGCAGGGACAUUUAGGAAGAGUGUGGGUGACAUUGUAAUGUGCUAGAGAGAUGUCAGGGCAGAGUGACAACAGGAAAGUGUUCACAGAGGUUGUCAAGUAAAGAAGGUGAUGCGCUCAGGUGGGCUGGAGCAGAAAGGUGCUGUGAGGGGCCUGAAUGAUGAAAGGGGUCAAGGGGAGCUAAUGAGUGGAGUCAGCAGUCUAAGGAACUUGUCUAGAAGAGAGAGAGGAGAGGUAGAGAAACAACUAAACAGAAGGUCAAGGGGAAAAUGUAAAACAGGAUUAUUUGCACAUGCUUAUCAAUCAUAGGUAAUGACUUACACUCUCUGAGGAAGCAAGAAGAAAUUGGACCCACAACAGAGGUGGCAGAAUCGGGCCUCUCAGAGAAAGGACAAGAAAGUGAAGAAAGUGGGGAUCUGCCCAGAAAGCUCAGAUGGCAAAGUUUGGAAGUUUGAGAAAAACACUGGAGAUAGAAUAACAAAGAGGACUGGUGGACGGAAAUGAUUAAAGGCAAGGACUUUUGAUUCUCACAGCAAAUCCAAGCCCUGCAUGUCCUUGCAAUCUCUGCACAAGCCCUGCCCCUCAGUCACCAGGCUCCAGGACUGGGGUCCGGGGCUGUGCAGAAGACAGGAUGGACUCAGAUGCAACUGGAUAUCAUGGAGGCAGUAACAAGAUAGUCCACAUGGGAGAAAAUGCAGGCCUGGAUUUGAGCAGUGGUUUAAGGGAAAGGGGAGGUGGGACUGGGAUUUAAAGACAUAAAUGCUGUAGAAGUGAGAGGACUACAUGACCAACUAGAUAUGAGGGUUAGGACAUUGGUCCUGGAUGGGUGCCUGGGACAGACAGUGUGUCUUUAGGAGGGUCUACCCCAGCAGUACUGACACCUACAAAGGCACACAACAGAGUCCCACAUUACACAUUUUGUGGGGCUGGGGGUGUCCUACACAGCCUCUUGGGUCUUCCCCCUCCCUCCUUUUACAGAGGAGACACUGAGUCCCAGGGGUGUGAAGUCACUUAACCAUGAUCGCAGAGUGAGUGUCCAAGACAGCCCUGGAACCAAAUGAUUGGAAGGGAAAGAGAAGAGUUGGAGAGAGACAGGGAGAAGAAGAGAGAAGGGGCAUGCAUUCAUUCAUCCCUCCACUCACUUCUUCAUUCGGCAAGUAGGUAUUGCCUUUUAGGUUCUGGGACCUGCUUUUAGGGAACUUCUAGCCAGGGAGGGGCCAUAGACGGCCUUUGGGGAAAGUGUGCAGGACACGUGGGACCCCCAGGAGGAAAGAGUCAUUUCUGUGCGGUGCUGGAGUGGGUGGAUGCGAGUGCCAGGAAAAGCGUCCAACUUGACCGAGGAAGCACCUUGACGGAGUGUUAAAAGAUGAGGUGGACCAAGUGGAAAAGGACAGCUCAUCAGAGGGAGUGAGAGCCAGGCCAGAAAGCAAGCUGUCUGAGGUAGCCCUCAGGUUGAAGAGUGAGGGAGUGUGUCCCCUUGGAAACCCUAUUUGACUGGUGGGGGAACGUAGUGGAAAACUUCAGAGAGAGGUGCUGCUGUAGCGUGGGGGAUGGCUUUGCCCCUGGCAGGCCUGGUCAGCCAGCGGGAGGGAAGAAAGUUGUCUCGGAAAACUGGAGGGGGCAGAGCACAAAGCCAGACCCUGGGCCCCAGGAUCAGCUCCACUGCACCCAGACCGCCAGAUACCACACUGGGCACUUGGAUCCUGGAGGCGAGUCAGAUUUAUAAACAACACAAAUAAAAGGUGGCCGCGCUAAAACCCAUGAGCAAGAGUGUUGAGAGAGGGGGUAAUUCCAUCCAGCUGGGAAGGAGGAGCAGAGGGAGGAUCCCGAGGAAGAAGCAGGAUGUCGAUAGAGUUGAUGGGAGUCAUAGAGAAAGAAAAGAUUUACCGGGGAACCAUGAAUUAUCCUGAUGGCAUUUCUGCCUGAGGGAGGAGCGUCCGUGGGUUUCACAGAAGCAGCGCUGGGACCUGUGUUUUCUCUGAGCCCGGCUCCUUGGGUCUGCCUACCUCAUCCUCUCACCUGCCGGGUCAGCAGCUCUCUUACCGGGGCUGUCUUGGCUUCAUUUCCACAGUUUGUGUGGCUCUCUGUAGAUGUAAAUGUCCAUUGAAUGAUUAAAAAUGGCGAUGAGAAAAUAUUUGGAAGGGCCUCAAUCCUCCCACCACUAGGGAAAAUCUGGGAUUUUAAAACAGAAAGUUUGGUUUGCCCACAGAGCUUCCUUCUCCAGGUUCUGCGUCUUUUCUUGUGUCUUCUGAUGUUUUUGUGAGUCCUUCUGAAGUUUGGUGAACCAUUCUCAGAACAAGGUGUGUGUAUGUCUUUGUCAAGUAGUAGAUGCUUUUAUUUUAGAACAAAGUUUUAAAUAUUAUAAUAAAAUAUGCAGGAUCAUAAAGAAAACCUUUAUAUUAAAAUACAGUUUCAGAAUAUUAAAAAAAUAAAUUAGUGGUAUGGUAAUAGAGAAUGCUUAUUUUUAACAUAUUAACUAACAAGAUCUAGUAGUAGGCCUCAUUAAUUGCUGUAAUUUCGAAGUAAUAAUGAGCUUAAUGGCAUUUUGAAAUAACUGCAACAUCUGUAAUAGAUAUGAAAUAUCUAUGAUUUCUACUGGUAAUUAGGUCACAGGAACUGCUAACACUACUAUGUUUGUUGUCUGCAUUUAUUACCAAAGGAAAUGCUAAAUGACAAUUAGAGGUUAGUGAAGCAAACAUGCAUUUCUCCUCCACCACCACCCCCAACUGCCAUCCAAGCUUAUGCAGCCAAGGAAUUCUCUCCCUGGCCACCACUGCUCAGCGUCUUCAUCUGCUGUUACUAUAAAGGCUGUGGUCGCUGGCGUGGGGCACCCCUAGGAAUGGGCAUCUGCCAUAAACUGCCUCAGGGAGCUCCAGCAGGGAAGUGCUGGUGUUUGGGAAUAAUUUUGAUCCUGUGGAUGUAGGAGGAAAUGGUUUGUCACCAGGAGAACCCCAGACUCAAAAUCUUUAACAGUUUGAAUAGGCUGUUGGAAAAAAAGUGUGUAGGACAUGAAGGAGUGGGCUCCUGGUUUUAAGUAUGCCUCAACUUUGAAUUUUCUCCUUUUCACCUUAGUGACCAAGAAUUCAGGGAGCGGCAUAAGUACCUUUAAGUUCAUAGAAGUUAGCUGAAGGUGUUUGUUUGUUUAUUAGUUUGUUUGUUUUUUAGGCUGUGUAUCAAAUUGGAAAUGAUGAAAAAGUCGAUGAGAGUGGGUAGAAACAGCCUCGUUCUGCGUGCGGGUCAACAUUUCUGCAGGGCAGUUUGGCUCUAUGGACUCAAAUCCCUAAGUGUGCGCAUACCCUUUGGUCCGGCCAUCCCAUUGCUAAGUAAUUUUUUUCUUAAGAAAAUAACUAUAUGCUUCUUAUAAAGAUACAUGUACAAAAUGUUUAUUGGUGUUUUAAACAAUAGUAAAACAAAAAUGAAUCAAGCAAACAAAAACCAGAAAAAAGAUCGCUUACAAUAAAUUGCAAGAGGGCAAAACCAAACAUAGCCAGAUCCAAAAUAGUAUCCCUGUUGGAUGCAAUUGGGAAAGCUAAGGCACGCACUGGUGGAAAACGCUAGAAGCACUUAUGUGGAUGCUAGCAGUGGUCCCCUUGGCAAGGCGGGGCUACCCACAGCCUUGUUUUCUCCUCCUGCUCUUCUAGGUUUUCUGAAGUUCCUGCAGGAGCUUAGAUACAUUAUUUCCGAGGACAUUUGUGUGGACAGAGGACCACUGCAUGAGUUUCAAAAAUCAUUUCUCCACGAAUUUACAGCUCAAUUCAAAUGUGUCUCUUAAUCUCUUAACAGUGUGAAUUCAAUGAGACAAUUUAAGAAAA
Molecule: long non-coding RNA, 4766 nt
Organism: Myotis daubentonii (Daubenton's bat)
Lineage: Eukaryota; Metazoa; Chordata; Mammalia; Chiroptera; Vespertilionidae
Source: RefSeq, a predicted model, not a curated record